ACUCAGUUAGCUCAGUUGGCAGAGCGGAGGACUGUAGAUGUUACAACAGUGAUCCUUAGGUUGCUGGUUCAAAGUCGUAGGACGAGUGGGUA
Molecule: non-coding RNA, 92 nt
Organism: Cordylochernes scorpioides
Lineage: Eukaryota; Metazoa; Arthropoda; Arachnida; Pseudoscorpiones; Chernetidae
Source: the annotation of a GenBank genome assembly